Molecule: ribosomal RNA, 1458 nt
Filed under: uncultured anaerobic ammonium-oxidizing bacterium
Lineage: Bacteria
Description: bacterial SSU rRNA
Rfam family: Bacterial small subunit ribosomal RNA
Source: RNAcentral
GAACGAGGAUAUAUCCUUCGGGGUAUAAGCCGAGUGGCGCAAGGGUGAGUAAUGCAUAGAUUACCUGCCUCUAGGAUAAGGACAACUUUGUGAAAACGAAGCUAAUACUUAAUAAUACAAAAGAAAAUAAUUUUCUUUUGUCAAUGGGAGGGUAGCAAUACCUUUUGCCUAGAGAGGGGUUUAUGUCCUAUCAGCUUGUUGAUGGGGUAAUGGCCUACCAAGGCGAAGACGGGUAGCCGGUCUUAGAGGAUGGUCGGCCACACUGGGACUGAGACACUGCCCAGACUUCUACGGAAGGCUGCAGUCGAGAAUCUUUCGCAAUGCCCGAAAGGGUGACGAAGCGACGCCGCGUGAGUGAGGAAGGCCUUAGGGUUGUAAAGCUCUGUCAGGAGUUAAGAAAUAUAAGUGUGUUAAUACCACAUUUAUUUGACGAAGGCUCCAAAGGAAGCCACGGCUAACUCUGUGCCAGCAGCCGCGGUAAUACAGAGGUGGCAAGCGUUGUUCGGAAUUAUUGGGCGUAAAGAGCACGUAGGUGGGUUUGUAAGUCAGAUGUGAAAGCCUUCUGUUCAACGGAAGAAUUGCAUCUGAAACUGCAAGUCUUGAGUGUAGGAGGGGAGAAUGGAACUUCUGGUGGAGCGGUGAAAUGCGUAGAUAUCAGAAGGAACGCCGGCGGCGAAAGCGAUUCUCUGGCCUAUUACUGACACUCAGUGUGCGAAAGCUAGGGGAGCAAACGGGAUUAGAUACCCCGGUAGUCCUAGCCGUAAACGAUGGGCACUAAGUAGAGGGGAUUACCGAUGUUCUCUCUGCCGUAGCUAACGCAUUAAGUGCCCCGCCUGGGGAGUACGGCCGCAAGGCUAAAACUCAAAAGAAUUGACGGGGGCUCGCACAAGCGGUGCAGCAUGUGGCUUAAUUCGAUGCAACGCGAAAAACCUUACCGGGGCUUGACAUGGUAGAAGUAGGAACCCGAAAGGGUAACGAACGGUAUCCAGUCCGUAGCUAUCACAGGUGUUGCAUGGCUGUCGUCAGCUCGUGUCGUGAGACGUUGGGUUAAGUCCCCUAACGAGCGAAACCCUUGUUUUUAGUUACCAGCGGGUUAUGCCGGGUACUCUAGAAAGACUGCCGUCGUCAAGACGGAGGAAGGUGGGGAUGACGUCAAGUCAUCAUGGCCCUUAUGCCCCGGGCUGCACACGUGCUACAAUGGUCGGUACAAACGGAAGCGAAGCCGAGAGGUGGAGCGAAUCCUAAAAAGCCGAUCUCAGUUCGGAUUGGAGGCUGAAAUUCGCCUCCAUGAAGUUGGAAUCGCUAGUAAUCGCGGAUCAGCAUUGCCGCGGUGAAUAUGUUCCCGAGCCUUGUACACACCGCCCGUCAAGCCACCCAAGCAGGAUGCACCCGAAAACAUUAUAUCUAACCAGGUUUACCUGGAGGAAAGUGUUGAAGGAGUGUUUUGUGAGGAGGACU